CGCUCUUGACAAAACAUAAGAGGUCCAGCCUGCCCAGUGACAAAGUUCAACGGCCGCGGUACCCUAACCGUGCAAAGGUAGCACAAUCACUUGUUCUUUAAAUGAGGACUCGUAUCAACGGCACUACGAGGGCUAUACUGUCUCCUUUUUCUAAUCAGUGAAACUGAUCUCCCCGUGAAGAAGCGGGGAUUAUAAUAUAAGACGAGAAGACCCCAUGGAGCUUUAAACUCACCAUGCACCUCUGUGCUCCCAUACCCCUAAACACAACAGACCUGCAUGUUAGUUUUAGGUUGGGGUGACCACGGAGUACAACUUAACCUCCAUAGCAAACGGGCUAAUACCCUUAUCCACGAGACACAACUCUAAGAAUUACUAAACUAAUGCUUACGAACCGAUAUUCGAUCCAUGAACCAAGUUACCCUGGGGAUAACAGCGCAAUCUACUUCAAGAGCCCAUAUCGACAAGUAGGUUUACGACCUCGAUGUUGGAUCAGGGUAUCCCGGUGGUGCAGCCGCUACCAAUGGUUCGUUUGUUCAACGA
This 540-nucleotide ribosomal RNA is filed under the name Rana chensinensis (Chinese brown frog). RNAcentral describes it as "partial 16S ribosomal RNA". It matches the Rfam family "Bacterial large subunit ribosomal RNA", at positions 1832 to 2587 of the family's 2925-position model. The record is from RNAcentral. Lineage: Eukaryota; Metazoa; Chordata; Amphibia; Anura; Ranidae.